Molecule: small nucleolar RNA, 79 nt
Filed under: Lobosporangium transversale
Lineage: Eukaryota; Fungi; Mortierellomycota; Mortierellomycetes; Mortierellales; Mortierellaceae
Source: RNAcentral
GAAUCGAAUGAGGAUAUCUCCAUACCGUUUCCUAGCGAGCACCUGAGCAAAUGAAACAUGCACUACCAUCUGACGAUUC